Molecule: ribosomal RNA, 971 nt
Filed under: uncultured bacterium
Lineage: Bacteria
Description: bacterial SSU rRNA
Rfam family: Bacterial small subunit ribosomal RNA
Source: RNAcentral
AGAGUUUGAUCAUGGCUCAGAGCGAACGUUAGCGGCACGCCUAACACAUGCAAGUCGCACGAGAAGGGGGCAACCCCUGAAAGUGGCGCACGGGUGCGUAACACGUAGAUAACCUGCCCUGAAGAGGGGGAUAACGUUCCGAAAGGAGCGCUAAUACCGCAUAACGCAGCGAGUGGUUUGCCACUUGCGGACAAAGGUAGGGACCGGCAACGGCCUAUCGCUUCAGGAGGGGUCUGCGGCCCAUCAGCUAGUUGGGGAGGUAAUGGCUCACCAAGGCAAAGACGGGUAGCUGGUCUGAGAGGAUGAUCAGCCACACUGGUACUGGAACACGGACCAGACUCCUACGGGAGGCAGCAGUGGGGAAUCUUGGUCAAUGGGCGCAAGCCUGAACCAGCGAUGCCGCGUGAGUGAUGAAGGCCUUCGGGUUGUAAAGCUCUGUGGGGAGGGGAGAAAAAGCGCGUUCUAACAGGACGCGUGUUGACGGUACCUCCUUAGCAAGCACCGGCUAACUCUGUGCCAGCAGCCGCGGUAAGACAGAGGGUGCAAACGUUGCUCGGAAUCACUGGGCGUAAAGGGCGUGUAGGCGGGCAGGUAAGUCGGGCGUGAAAUCCCUGAGCUCAACUCAGGAACUGCACUCGAAACUACUUGUCUUGAGUACCGGAGAGGAAAGCGGGAAUACCUGGUGUAGAGGUGAAAUUCGUAGAUAUCAGGUGGAACACCAGUGGCGAAGGCGGCUUUCUGGACGGUAACUGACGCUGAGACGCGAAAGCGUGGGGAGCAAACAGGAUUAGAUACCCUGGUAGUCCACGCUGUAAACGAUGAGUGCUAGGUGUCGUGGGUAUUGACCCCCGCGGUGCCGUAGCUAACGCAUUAAGCACUCCGCCUGGGAAGUACGGUCGCAAGACUAAAACUCAAGGAAUUGACGGGGCCCGCACAAGCGGUGGAGCAUGUGGUUUAAUUCGACGCAACGC